UACUUUUCCCCCAAAAAUAAUAACAACCAUGACUGAGAUAAGUUUGCCCUUUCAAGUGUAUAUAUAGCAUUUGACACAGCCUUCAGUUAGUAAAUAGCGCGUAUUGGAAUAUAAGCAUAUCCGAGAAAAUCCGAGACUGAGGGUGGGCCCGCUGAGCGAUUCUACUUGGAGAGAGGGGGCCCGUUGAGUGACGCGUGUAUAUCCUUGGGCCCGGCUACGGGCCCCGACACCUCACAGGCCCAGGUGCAUCCGCACCUUCUGCACCCCCUAUAGUUACGCCCCUGUGUGUGUUGCAGUGUGCCGCUUGUAGACUGACUGAAGUCAGCCUUGUUUGUUUGUUUUGUUAUAUUUCUUGAAAUUCUCUUGACAUCCUAACAGAAAUGAAUAAAUCAAAUGCUCUGGCAAUAAAAAGAAGAAAAAAACGUCAUAUGUGGCAGUUGCAGGGCUGUAAAAAGCCUGUCCAAUCAUUUCAUUCAUGUCGAAUGAAACGACUGGAUGGCCUACCUACCUGUCUACCUACCUACCUGCGUGCACUCUGCCGUGCACUCAUUGCAUGUGACCGAAGUCUUCCAUAAGGCAUAAUACUAAAACAAGAAGUGAAACAAGUGAAGCCGAGAAAAAUACAGUUCCACUUCUGCCUUCUGUACUGCUAAGCAAAGCAAGAAAAGAAAGACAGAAGUACAAGGGCUGUGUUCUGAGAGUCCUCCAUAGUUAACAAACACAAACUUUGUGACACAAGCUUAGAAGCACAGUCCGAUACGUGGGUUAUGGGAGUUGUGUGGGCAAAGCCUCCUAACAUGCCUCCUCUCAGCCUGGCUGACAGUCCACCGACCACUCAGUCUCAGAGGUUCGUGGGCAGCAUAGGACAUAAGAAAGAAAGGGUUCAGAUGCCAACUCUGUUCAGUAAAAGCACCCGCCACAGGGACAGGAAUCUAGGCAGCUGUUGGUUUGUAAUUAGCAUAAAGAGCUAUAACCUUAUGGUUUGUAGUUAGUGGUGAGGUAGUUAGCAUAAAGAGCUAUAACCUUAUGGUUUGUAGUUAGUGGUGAGGUAGUUAGCAUAAAGAGCUAUAACCUUAUGGUUUGUAGUUAGUGGUGUGGUAGUUAGCAUGAAGAGCUAUAACCUUAUGGUUUGUAGUUAGUGGUGUGGUAGUUAGCAUAAAGAGCUAUAACCUUAUGGUUUGUAGUUAGUGGUGAGGUAUGGUUUGUAGUUAGUGGUGUGGUAGUUAGCAUAAAGAGCUAUAACCUUAUGUUAGACUAUGUUGGCUUUGAAUGGGAUGUUUUACAAAUGUGGUGCUGCAGCUUAUUUGUGUGUUUUUGUAGUUGUGUAAUAUAAUAUAAUAUCUAUUAUCAGGUUAGUGCAAGGGUGCCCAAUGCGUCGAUCGCGAUCGACCAGUCGAUCGCAAAGCUUAUGGUGGUAGAUCGUGUCAUUUAAAAAAAAAAUUUUUUUAUAUAAAUCACCAGAUCACAACGGAAGUCUUUUAAGGUUACCUUUCUUAUAGAACAGAUAUAGCUUUUUCGUGUAUUAAACAAAAUAAAAAGCCUUAUGUUAUUUAGCUGUGAAUAAUGAAGGAAGCAAUAUAUCCGAUUAUUAUCCAAACCCUUGAGAGCUGUUGCCAUGGAGAUUUAACGUUACUUUCUGUUUGAAGAUAAGGUAGCAGCGAGUGUUGAAGAAUGGAUGACUUUAAAUAAUAUAUGAAAUUGAACAACAUCAACAACUUUACGGAUAAAAUAAAUAAACAAGGAUAGCAAAACAGAUUGAUACGCAUAGAAUGAGAACGGCAGAAACGCAGACAGGACGUCAGAUGACGAGACAGAUCACAGUGACACAGGCUGUUUUUUUCCCCUCAUAUGUGAAGGCUGAGACAUUCAUAACAUUUUAAUCAGUCUUACUGAUGGUCCUUCUGUAAUGCCAACAGGUGCACUGUGUUGUGGAUAAGUUUUGUAGUCCUGGUAAUCUUUUGUUUAGCAUAUUGGCAAGGUUAUUUAUUUUUGUUCUUGAUGAAUGAAUGUUUGUUUAUUAAUAAGUUAUUUUUCAACAAAUAACUCAAUUAUGAUUACAAAGAGGAACAAACACCUAAAAACACAGCAACUUUCAUCUGAACUUUUUGGAAAAGCUCCCUCGAAAUCAAGAAUUUUAGGCCGCAACUAUCUCAAAUAAUGUCACCAAUAUCACCA
Molecule: long non-coding RNA, 2175 nt
Organism: Clupea harengus (Atlantic herring)
Lineage: Eukaryota; Metazoa; Chordata; Actinopteri; Clupeiformes; Clupeidae
Source: Ensembl